Molecule: transfer RNA, 67 nt
Filed under: Zahniserius cylindricus
Lineage: Eukaryota; Metazoa; Arthropoda; Insecta; Hemiptera; Cicadellidae
Description: tRNA-Ser
Source: RNAcentral
AAGGGAAAAGGCUAUAGAAAUAGCUGCUAACUAAUUUCUAAAGCGGUUUAACUCCGUUUAUCCCUUG